GAUGAAGAACGUAGAGAAAUGCGAUAAGUAUUGUGAAUUGCAGAAUUCAGUGAAUCAUCGAAUCUUUGAACGCACAUUGCGCCCCUUGGUAUUCCAUGGGGCAUGCCUGUUCGAGCGUCAUUUGUAUCUUCAAGCUUUGCUUGGUGUUGGGUGUUUGUCUCGCCUUUGCGUGUAGACUCGCCUUAAAAUAAUUGGCAGCCGGCGUAUUGAUUUCGGAGCGCAGUACAUCUCGCGCUUUGCACUCAUAACGACAGCGUCCAAAAGUACAUUUUACACUCUUGACCUCUGAUCAGGUAGGGAUACCCGCUGAACUUAAGCAUAUCAAUAAGCGGAGGA
This 336-nucleotide unclassified non-coding RNA is filed under the name soil metagenome. Its description in RNAcentral is "partial contains 5.8S ribosomal RNA, internal transcribed spacer 2, and large subunit ribosomal RNA". The stretch from base 1 to 120 matches the Rfam family "5.8S ribosomal RNA", at positions 35 to 154 of the family's 154-position model. The record is from RNAcentral.